RNAcentral lists this ribosomal RNA (251 nucleotides) under uncultured prokaryote. RNAcentral's name for it is "partial 16S ribosomal RNA". It matches the Rfam family "Bacterial small subunit ribosomal RNA", at positions 525 to 775 of the family's 1533-position model. The record is from RNAcentral.
ACGUAGGGUGCGAGCGUUAAUCGGAAUUACUGGGCGUAAAGCGUGCGCAGGCGUCCUUUUCCUCCCUCUUUUCCCUCCCCUUUCUCCCCCUUUUCCCUUCCUUUGUGACUGCAAGGCUAGAGUGCGUCAGAGGGAGGUGGAAUUCCGCGUGUAGCAGUGAAAUGCGUAGAGAUGCGGAGGAGCACCGAUGGCGAAGGCAGCCUCCUGGGAUGACACUGACGCUCAUGCACGAAAGCGUGGGGAGCAAACAG